GUUAGGAAUAUUGGACAAUGGGCGCAAGCCUGAUCCAGCCAUGCCGCGUGAGUGAUGAAGGCCUUCGGGUUGUAAAGCUCUUUAGCCGAUGAUUAUAAUGACUGUAGUCGGAAAAUAAGCCCCGGCUAACUUCGUGCCAGCAGCCGCGGUAAUACGAAGGGGGCGAGCGUUAUUCGGAAUCACUGGGCGUAAAGCGUGCGUAGGCGGCUUUGCAAGUUGGGAGUGAAAGCCCAGGGCUCAACCCUGGAAUUGCUCUCAAAACUGCAAGGCUCGAAUUCGAGAGAGGAUAGCGGAAUUGUCAGUGUAGCAGUGAAAUGCGUAGAUAUUGACAGGAACACCAGUGGCGUAAGCGGCUAUCUGGACCGAUAUUGACGCUGAGGCACGAAAGCGUGGGGAUCAAACAGGAUUAGAAACCCUGGUAGUCC
Molecule: ribosomal RNA, 425 nt
Filed under: uncultured bacterium
Lineage: Bacteria
Description: partial 16S ribosomal RNA
Rfam family: Bacterial small subunit ribosomal RNA
Source: RNAcentral